This 481-nucleotide ribosomal RNA is filed under the name uncultured bacterium. RNAcentral's name for it is "bacterial SSU rRNA". It matches the Rfam family "Bacterial small subunit ribosomal RNA", at positions 25 to 518 of the family's 1533-position model. The record is from RNAcentral.
CAGAACGAACGCUGGUGGCGUGUCUUAUACAUGCAAGUCGAGCGGUCCGCAAGGAUAGCGGCGAACGGGUGAGUAACGCGUAAGCAAUCUGCCCCGCAUAUUCGGGGUAGCCGUGCCAACGCGCGGAUAAUACCGAAUAACGUGGCCCCGGACAUCCGGGGUUGACGAAAGAUUCAUCGAUGCGGGAUGAGCUUGCGUCCGAUUAGCUAGUUGGCGGGGCAACGGCCCGACCAAGGCGACGAUCGGUAGCCGGCCUGAGAGGGUGAUCGGCCACAUUGGGACUGAGAUACGGCCCAGACUCCUACGGGAGGCAGCAGUAGGGAAUAUUGCACAAUGGGGGAAACCCUGAUGCAGCAACGCCACGUGUGGGAAGAAGCAUUUCGGUGUGUAAACCACUGUCGUGAGGGAAUAAUACGCGGUUUCGGCCGCGGGGGAAUGUACCUCGAGAGGAAGCACCGGCAAACUUCGUGCCAGCAGCAGC